Molecule: ribosomal RNA, 468 nt
Filed under: uncultured bacterium
Lineage: Bacteria
Description: partial 16S ribosomal RNA
Rfam family: Bacterial small subunit ribosomal RNA
Source: RNAcentral
GACGAACGCUGGCGGCGUGCUUAACACAUGCAAGUCGAACGGAAAGGCCCUGCUUUUGUGGGGUGCUCGAGUGGCGAACGGGUGAGUAACACGUGAGUAACCUGCCCUUGACUUUGGGAUAACUUCAGGAAACUGGGGCUAAUACCGGAUAGGAGCUCCUGCUGCAUGGUGGGGGUUGGAAAGUUUCGGCGGUUGGGGAUGGACUCGCGGCUUAUCAGCUUGUUGGUGGGGUAGUGGCUUACCAAGGCUUUGACGGGUAGCCGGCCUGAGAGGGUGACCGGCCACAUUGGGACUGAGAUACGGCCCAGACUCCUACGGGAGGCAGCAGUGGGGAAUAUUGCACAAUGGGCGGAAGCCUGAUGCAGCAACGCCGCGUGCGGGAUGACGGCCUUCGGGUUGUAAACCGCUUUCGCCUGUGACGAAGCGUGAGUGACGGUAAUGGGUAGAGAAGCACCGGCUAACUACGCG